GCAAGGUGCUGCAUGGUUGUCGUCAGCUCGUGCCGUGAGGUGUCGGGUUAAGUCCCAUAACGAGCGCAACCCUUAUCAUUAGUUGCUACGCAAGGGCACUCUAAUGAGACUGCCGGUGACAAACCGGAGGAAAGGUGGGGAUGACGUCAAGUCCUCAUGGCCCUUAUGGGUAGGGCUUCACACGUCAUACAAUGGUCGGUACAGAGGGUUGCCAAGCCGCGAGGGCGGAGCCAAUCCCACAAAGCCGAUCGUAGUCCGGAUUGUAGGCUGCAACUCGCCUACAUGAAGUCGGAAUCGCUAGUAAUCGCGGAUCAGCACGCCGCGGUGAAUACGUUCCCGGGCCUU
This 345-nucleotide ribosomal RNA is filed under the name uncultured Thiobacillus sp. RNAcentral describes it as "bacterial SSU rRNA". It matches the Rfam family "Bacterial small subunit ribosomal RNA", at positions 1033 to 1382 of the family's 1533-position model. The record is from RNAcentral. Lineage: Bacteria; Pseudomonadati; Pseudomonadota; Betaproteobacteria; Nitrosomonadales; Thiobacillaceae.